RNAcentral lists this ribosomal RNA (430 nucleotides) under uncultured bacterium. Its description in RNAcentral is "bacterial SSU rRNA". It matches the Rfam family "Bacterial small subunit ribosomal RNA", at positions 355 to 776 of the family's 1533-position model. The record is from RNAcentral.
UAAGGAAUAUUGCGCAAUGGGCGAAAGCUUGACGCAGCCAUGCCGCGUGGAUGACGAAGGCCUUCGGGUCGUAAAGUCCUUUUAUCAGGGAAGAACAAGCGCGAGAAGAAAAAGCUCGCGCCCUGACGGUACCUGAUGAAUAAGCAACGGCUAACUCCGUGCCAGCAGCCGCGGUAAUACGGAGGUUGCGAGCGUUGUUCGGAUUUACUGGGCGUAAAGGGAGCGCAGGCGGCUAGAUAAGUCUAAAGUGAAAGUCUGGGGCUUAACCCCGGAAGUGCUUCGGAUACUGUCUAGCUUGAGUAUGUGAGAGGAGUGCGGAAUUUCAGGUGUAGCGGUGAAAUGCGUAGAUAUCUGAAGGAACACCGGUGGCGAAAGCGGCACUCUGGCGCAAGACUGACGCUGAGGCUCGAAAGCGUGGGGAGCGAACGGG